RNAcentral lists this ribosomal RNA (253 nucleotides) under uncultured bacterium. RNAcentral's name for it is "partial 16S ribosomal RNA". It matches the Rfam family "Bacterial small subunit ribosomal RNA", at positions 524 to 776 of the family's 1533-position model. The record is from RNAcentral.
UACGUAGGGUGCGAGCGUUGUCCGGAAUUAUUGGGCGUAAAGAGCUCGUAGGCGGUCUGUCGCGUCGGCUGUGAAAACCCGGGGCUCAACCCCGGGCCUGCAGUCGAUACGGGCAGACUAGAGUGCGGUAGGGGAGACUGGAAUUCCUGGUGUAGCGGUGAAAUGCGCAGAUAUCAGGAGGAACACCGGUGGCGAAGGCGGGUCUCUGGGCCGUAACUGACGCUGAGGCACGAAGGCCAGGGGAGCAAACGGG